UGGCUCUCGCAUCGAUGAAGAACGCAGCGAAAUGCGAUAAGUAAUGUGAAUUGCAGAAUUCAGUGAAUCAUCGAAUCUUUGAACGCACCUUGCGCCCUUUGGUAUUCCGAAGGGCAUGCCUGUUCGAGUAUCAUCAAAUUCUCAAACCGUGAACUUGCGUUUUCGGUCUUGGAUCUUGGAGUGUGCAGAUGAAUCUACAUCUGCUCCUCUUCAAAUGCAUGAGUGGAAUUUUUGAGUUUCAGUCAACCUGGCGUGAUAAUUAUCUGCGUCAAGAGAAAUCUAAACUCCAUCUGCUUACAAUCGUCUUCGGACAAAAAUUAUCUCAAUUUGAUCUCGAAUCAGGUAGGAUUACCCGCUGA
RNAcentral lists this unclassified non-coding RNA (359 nucleotides) under uncultured fungus. RNAcentral describes it as "partial contains 5.8S ribosomal RNA and internal transcribed spacer 2". The stretch from base 1 to 133 matches the Rfam family "5.8S ribosomal RNA", at positions 22 to 154 of the family's 154-position model. Lineage: Eukaryota; Fungi. The record is from RNAcentral.